UACGGGGGGAGCAAGCGUUGUUCGGAUUUACUGGGCGUAAAGGGCGCGUAGGCGGCCACUGCAAGUCAGUUGUGAAAUCUCCGGGCUUAACUCGGAAAGGUCAACUGAUACUGCAGGGCUAGAGUGCAGAAGGGGCAACUGGAAUUCUCGGUGUAGCGGUGAAAUGCGUAGAUAUCGAGAGGAACACCUGCGGCGAAGGCGGGUUGCUGGGCUGACACUGACGCUGAAGCGCGAAAGCCAGGGGAGCGAACGGG
Molecule: ribosomal RNA, 254 nt
Filed under: uncultured bacterium
Lineage: Bacteria
Description: partial 16S ribosomal RNA
Rfam family: Bacterial small subunit ribosomal RNA
Source: RNAcentral